RNAcentral lists this unclassified non-coding RNA (298 nucleotides) under Hevea brasiliensis (rubber tree). The record is from RNAcentral. Lineage: Eukaryota; Viridiplantae; Streptophyta; Magnoliopsida; Malpighiales; Euphorbiaceae.
GGCCAAGUACAACCAGCUCCUCAGGAUCGAGGAAGAGCUUGGUGCUAGUGCAGUCUAUGCAGGUGCCAAGUUCAGGGCACCGGUUGAGCCUUACUAGAGGAAGUAGAUGACUGCUGAAUGUGUUUCAGGGCCUUUUGUUGGAAGAGAGUUUUACUUUGAGCAGUAAGUUUAAUAAUGAGAUAAUUUUGCAGUGUUGGUCCAUGUUUUGGACUGGUUAAUGAUGUAGGAUGCAUCUCUAAUCCGAGUGUAAAAGUUUGAAUAUGACAUCAGAGUUUGGUUGCCAUAUAUAAAUCUACCG